UCCGUAGGUGAACCUGCGGAAGGAUCAUUAAUAGUGCCCUCUGAUGCAAAUCAUUGGGUUAGAUCUGCUCUCUUCGCAAGAAGAGGGUUUCCAUACACACCGUGAACUGUGGCUUCGGCCAUCACAAACUGUUAGUAAUGAAUGUAAUAUCAUAACAAAAACAAAACUUUUAACAACGGAUCUCUUGGCUCUCGCAUCGAUGAAGAACGCAGCGAAAUGCGAUAAGUAAUGUGAAUUGCAGAAUUCAGUGAAUCAUCGAAUCUUUGAACGCACCUUGCGCCCUUUGGUAUUCCGAAGGGCAUGCCUGUUUGAGUGUCAUGAAACCUCACCCCACUUGGGUUUUUGCCUGAGCGGUGGUGUAUUGGGUGUUGCCUUGCUAAAGGCUCGCCUUAAAGACAUAAGCACCUUGGAUGUAAUACGUUUCAUCCUUCUGGGUGGUUGAUAACCCCACAUAUUCAUGAUCUGGCCUCAAAUCAGGUAGGGCUACCCGCUGAACUUAAGCAUAUCAAUAAGCGGAGGAAAAGAAACUAACUAGGAUUCCCUUAGUAACGGCGAGUGAACCGGGAUGAGCUCAAAUUUAAAAUCUGGCGUCUUUCAGGCGUCCGAGUUGUAAUCUAUAGAGGCGUUUUCCGCGCCGGACCGCGUCCAAGUCUCUUGGAAUAGAGUAUCAAAGAGGGUGACAAUCCCGUACUUGACGCGACAACCGGUGCUCUGUGAUACGUUCUCAAUGAGUCGAGUUGUUUGGGAAUGCAGCUCUAAAUGGGUGGUAAAUUCCAUCUAAGGCUAAAUAUUGGCGAGAGACCGAUAGCGAACAAGUACCGUGAGGGAAAGAUGAAAAGCACUUUGGAAAGAGAGUUAAACAGCACGUGAAAUUGUUAAAAGGGAAACGCUUGAAGU
RNAcentral lists this small RNA (897 nucleotides) under uncultured fungus. RNAcentral describes it as "eukaryotic LSU rRNA". The stretch from base 464 to 897 matches the Rfam family "Eukaryotic large subunit ribosomal RNA", at positions 1 to 429 of the family's 3401-position model. The record is from RNAcentral. Lineage: Eukaryota; Fungi.